UGCAGGUACUGGUUGAAUAAGGACCGGCUAAUUCCGUGCCAGCAGCCGCGGUAAUACGGAAGGUCCGAGCGUUAUCCGGAUUUAUUGGGUUUAAAGGGUGCGCGGGCGGGGAGCCAAGUCAGCCGUCAAAUCGCGGAGCUCAACUCCGUCCAGCGGUUGAAACUGGUUCUCUUGAGUGCGGCAGAGGAAGGUGGAAUUCGUGGUGUAGCGGUGAAAUGCAUAGAUAUCACGAAGAACUCCGAUUGCGAAGGCAGCCUUCUGGGCCGUAACUGACGCUCAUGCACGAAGGUGUGGGUAUCAAACAGGAUUAGAUACCCUG
Molecule: ribosomal RNA, 319 nt
Filed under: uncultured bacterium
Lineage: Bacteria
Description: bacterial SSU rRNA
Rfam family: Bacterial small subunit ribosomal RNA
Source: RNAcentral